This 484-nucleotide ribosomal RNA is filed under the name uncultured bacterium. RNAcentral's name for it is "partial 16S ribosomal RNA". It matches the Rfam family "Bacterial small subunit ribosomal RNA", at positions 28 to 507 of the family's 1533-position model. The record is from RNAcentral.
AUUGAACGCUGGCGGCAUGCUUUACACAUGCAAGUCGAACGGCAGCGCGGGCUUCGGCCUGGCGGCGAGUGGCGAACGGGUGAGUAAUGCAUCGGAACGUGCCCAGUUGUGGGGGAUAGCCCGGCGAGAGCCGGAUUAAUACCGCAUACGACCUGAGGGUGAAAGCGGGGGACCGAAAGGCCUCGCGCCAUUGGAGCGGCCGAUGUCGGAUUAGCUAGUUGGUGGGGUAAAGGCUUACCAAGGCGACGAUCCGUAGCUGGUCUGAGAGGACGACCAGCCACACUGGGACUGAGACACGGCCCAGACUCCUACGGGAGGCAGCAGUGGGGAAUUUUGGACAAUGGGGGCAACCCUGAUCCAGCCAUGCCGCGUGCGUGAAGAAGGCCUUCGGGUUGUAAACCGCUUUUGUUCGGGAAGAAAUCCUCUGGGCUAAUACCCCGGGGGGAUGACGGUACCGGAAGAAUAAGCACCGGCUAACUACGUG